RNAcentral lists this ribosomal RNA (465 nucleotides) under uncultured bacterium. RNAcentral's name for it is "partial 16S ribosomal RNA". It matches the Rfam family "Bacterial small subunit ribosomal RNA", at positions 338 to 795 of the family's 1533-position model. The record is from RNAcentral.
CCUACGGGUGGCAGCAGUAGGGAAUCUUCCACAAUGGACGAAAGUCUGAUGGAGCAACGCCGCGUGAGUGAAGAAGGGUUUCGGCUCGUAAAGCCCUGUUGGUAGUGAAGAAAGAUAGAGGUAGUAACUGGCCUUUAUUUGACGGUAAUUACUUAGAAAGUCACGGCUAACUACGUGCCAGCAGCCGCGGUAAUACGUAGGUGGCAAGCGUUGUCCGGAUUUAUUGGGCGUAAAGCGAGUGCAGGCGGUUCAAUAAGUCUGAUGUGAAAGCCUUCGGCUCAACCGGAGAAGUGCAUCAGAAACUGUUGAACGUGAGUGCAGGAGAGGAGAGUGGAACUCCAGGUGUAGCGGUGGAAUGCGUAGAUAUAUGGAAGAACACCAGUGGCGAAGGCGGCUCUCUGGUCUGCAACUGACGCUGAGGCUCGAAAGCAUGGGUAGCGAAAAGGAUUAGAUACCCCGGUAGUC